Cyprinus carpio carpio is the source of this 3039-nucleotide long non-coding RNA. Lineage: Eukaryota; Metazoa; Chordata; Actinopteri; Cypriniformes; Cyprinidae. The record is from Ensembl.
AAGCAUACUUGGCAAUAAAGCUCUUUCUGAUUCUGAUUCUUCUAUAGUGAAACUGUUUAUUUACAUGAACAAACCGAUUCACUAGAAUGAAUCAGACUUUCUAACUGGAACGUUUAAGAUUAACCGAAUCACUAAAAUCAAUCAGACUAUCCAAAGCUACAGUAGGCUACAUAAGAACUCUUAGAGGACCGAUGAAUCACUAAUGAUUCGGACUUUACAAUAAGAAAUUGAGAUAUUUAAAAUGGAUCGGACUACCAACGCUACAUCAGAAAUCGCAGAGACCGUUUAGGAUGAAUCGAAUCACUAGCAUGAAUCGGAUUAUCCAGUGCUACAUAAAAGAGAAAGGACCGUUUAAGAUGAAUCUAGAUCGAUUCUCUAGAACGAUUCGGACUAGGUCUACACAGCGCUACAUAAGAAAUAGAGUGAACCAUUUAGAAACCGAAUCACUAGAAUGAAUCGGAAAAAUCCAACGCUACAUAAUAAAAGAGAGGACCGUUUAGGAUGACGCGAAUAUGCAUCGUACUUCUACUCUUGAAAGAGAAAGGACUGUUGAGGGCAGCAACACUUCCAUGCAUCUACGUGGCUACACCAGGCAUGCUGGGAUACACGUAGCCGUGUUCCGAAUGUGGAGGUAUGCGGGGCCGGGCCGGUGGGCGUGUGGUGAAAUCCAGUUCGCCUAAGCGCACAGGUCAGCACUGUCCGGUCAGCAGCUGCUGCCUGGCCGCGGUCCCACGCUUCCCAGGCCGGGGGGAGGAUUGACAGGUCAGUAAUAAAAUCAGGCGCCCUGGCUGAGCUCAGAGCUGCCCAUUGUUCGAGGGCCAGGCCCGCUGCUGCUGUUUACUCUCUCCCAUAUGCAUUAUUCAACGGCCCAGGAGCUCCCAGAGAAAGGGGCCCCAUUCAGGGAGCCUCUUGCCCAUGUUUUGUUUUGCUAAUUUUCAAUUAAAAUAAACCAUGGCACUAAGGGGGGAGUAAGAGAGCGCAAGGGAGAGAUAGUCCCAGUACUAUUUACCCUGUGACGUCUAAAGGGAUUAGGCUGAUCACAUAAAUGACAAUAAAACACUACUUAUUGAGUAUUAUGUCAGUGACAUAUCUGUUAUUUUAAAUCAGGGGUAGACUGUGGGACAAUGAGGUGUGAUGCUGUUUCAGUUUGGUCACAUUCUGCAGGGGAUGUCUGAAUAACUUUUGCACACUAAUAAACUUGAGAGUCCAAAGUCUGUAUUAUGUGCUGUCCUUUUAUAAUAAUCAGAAGGAAAUGGCAUACAAUGUGCUGCUUUGUUAAGUGAUGGAUUUUUAAUCUUAAUUAAUAUUAUGCAUGAGUUGAGAUAAUCUGAAAUCAAUAUAUAUUCUAAUUUAAUAUCAAUAGAAUCCAAAAUCUACAUAUACGUUUUGUUAUUUAAAACCAGUUGCUACUGUUCAAAAGUUUGGGGGUCAAUAAGGACUCAUCAAAAGACAUUUAUAAUGUUACAAAGGUUUUCUAUUUCAAACAAAUGCUGUUCUUUUGAACUUUCAUUUUUAUAAAAGAAUCCUGAAAAAAAAUGUGUAUCAUAGUUUCCACAAAAAUGUUAAGCAGCACAACUGUUUUCAACAUUUAUAAUAAUAAUAACAAAUUUUUCUUGAGUGCCAAAUCAGCAUAUUAGAAUCAUUUCUGAGGGAUCCUGUGACACUGAAUACUGGAGUAAUGUGCAGGAAAAAAAUUAAAUAUUUUAAAAUAGAAAAAUGUAAAAUUGUAAUAAUAUUUUUGAUUGAAUAAAUGCAGCCUAAUUUAAAACAUUUGAUUUAACAGAUUAUUCGACAAUAAUAACGAUUUAAAGAUUUGAUAACAGAUUGGGCUGAUGCAUAUUGAUUUUAGUUUGAACGUUUCACUUAAUGAACGUUUUAACCUGCAGAACGAUGACAUGACCUGCAGAUCAUUAAAUAUCAGCAUCCCUGACACCAUGGGCUAAUCAAUAAGUGCACUGAUAGGUUUUUAUUGUUGGUUUUUUUCACACAGGAGGGGGCUACACUAACCCAGAGAGGCUGUGGACAGAUGCAGUGACAGUGGGGAGUGAGGAAAGUUAAAGAUUCACCACACAUCUGUUACUCUGCCACAGAGCGGACUCUCAGGCACCUACCCCCGCUGUCUGCUGGCUUGCCCGUCUGCCUGGGUAUGUCUGUCUGUCUGUCUGUCUUCCUGCCUGCUCCCCUUAAUAUGUGACUGCAUGCUGUCCACCUGUCUCUCUGAGUUUGAUUGACUUGCUGUUAACCUGCAUGUGUCUUCUCUGUGUGCUUACCACACUGUCAGCCUAACUGCCCAACUGCUUCCUGUUGCAUACAUGUGUCCUCGUCCCCCUUAAUGAGCGAGCGCAUCUUCAAACCGCACAGCGACUUCAAUCACCCGCCUAACGAACCCUGCAUUUUGGUAACCGUCUCCUGCCAACAGUCAGAUGAGCAUUUAUAUUAUAUUCAGUUUUAAUUAUAACUAAAAAGACCAAUCUAAUUUAAUCAGGAGUGCAGUAUAAUAAUUAACUCUGCCAGUUAUUUAGAGUCUAACCUGCCUCUUAUUUAGCAGGUUUUCACAAUUGUUUGGUCCAAUACCCAAAUUCAAUUCCAUCUCACAUUUUCAAACAGACUUGGAAAAGGUUUUCAAGUUUUUAAGCAAGUUUAUUACAACGUUUUUUAUGUGAUACAUCAGGCUUUUAUGGCUCUUAGCGGGAUACAGAAUAUAUGAUAUGAUACGUGAUAAAGAAAAAACACCCAAGAGGUGCCAAACUGGGCAAAAAUAUGCAAUUUGGUGCAUUUGCUGAAAUUAAUAUGGCCAAAAAUUAAGAUGAAAUUAUUUUAGGUUGUAAUGUAAAUCAAUGAGAUCUUCAUAACAGUAUAACAGGCUACUUACAUAAAAUAUGUACAGUAUAAAUUUAAAUUGGUUAUCAUUCUAUAUCUCAAUAAUUUGUCUUAUCAUAUUUAAAUGCAUAGUUUUAUGAUCAAAGUUCUGUCGUUUUUAUUGUGGGGGCAAAAACAUAUACAGUAAUGCAGUACAGUGCUGAUUGAAAGUGUACAAAU